This 465-nucleotide ribosomal RNA is filed under the name uncultured bacterium. RNAcentral describes it as "partial 16S ribosomal RNA". It matches the Rfam family "Bacterial small subunit ribosomal RNA", at positions 338 to 795 of the family's 1533-position model. The record is from RNAcentral.
CCUACGGGUGGCAGCAGUAGGGAAUCUUCCACAAUGGGCGAAAGCCUGAUGGAGCAACGCCGCGUGGGUGAAGAAGGUCUUCGGAUCGUACAACCCUGUUGUUAGAGAAGAAAGUGCGUGAGAGUAACUGUUCACGUUUCGACGGUAUCUAACCAGCAAGCCACGGCUAACUACGUGCCAGCAGCCGCGGUAAUACGUAGGUGGCAAGCUUUAUCCGGAAUUUUUGGGCGUAAAGGGAACGCAGGCGGUCUUUUAAGUCUGAUGUGAAAGCCUUGGGCUGAACCGGAGAAGUGCAUUGGAAACUGGGAGACUGGAGUGCAGGAGAGGAGAGUGGAACUCCAUGUGUAGCGGUGAAAUGCGUAGAUAUAUGGAAGAACACCAGUGGCGAAAGCGGCUCUCUGGUCUGUAACUGACGCUGAGGUUCGAAAGCGUGGGUAGCAAACAGGAUUAGAUACCCCAGUAGUC